AUUGAACGCUGGCGGCAUGCCUUACACAUGCAAGUCGAACGGCAGCACGGGUGCUUGCACCUGGUGGCGAGUGGCGAACGGGUGAGUAAUACAUCGGAACAUGUCCUGUAGUGGGGGAUAGCCCGGCGAAAGCCGGAUUAAUACCGCAUACGAUCUACGGAUGAAAGCGGGGGACCUUCGGGCCUCGCGCUAUAGGGUUGGCCGAUGGCUGAUUAGCUAGCUGGUGGGGUAAAGGCCUACCAAGGCGACGAUCAGUAGCUGGUCUGAGAGGACGACCAGCCACACUGGGACUGAGACACGGCCCAGACUCCUACGGGAGGCAGCAGUGGGGAAUUUUGGACAAUGGGCGAAAGCCUGAUCCAGCAAUGCCGCGUGUGUGAAGAAGGCCUUCGGGUUGUAAAGCACUUUUGUCCGGAAAGAAAUCCUUGGCUCUAAUACAGUCGGGGGAUGACGGUACCGGAAGAAUAAGCACCGGCUAACUACGUG
This 486-nucleotide ribosomal RNA is filed under the name uncultured bacterium. Its description in RNAcentral is "partial 16S ribosomal RNA". It matches the Rfam family "Bacterial small subunit ribosomal RNA", at positions 30 to 507 of the family's 1533-position model. The record is from RNAcentral.